Molecule: ribosomal RNA, 550 nt
Filed under: Salmonella enterica subsp. enterica serovar Heidelberg
Lineage: Bacteria; Pseudomonadati; Pseudomonadota; Gammaproteobacteria; Enterobacterales; Enterobacteriaceae
Also listed under: 2 other names
Description: bacterial SSU rRNA
Rfam family: Bacterial small subunit ribosomal RNA
Source: RNAcentral
GAAGUUUUCAGAGAUGAGAAUGUGCCUUCGGGAACCGUGAGACAGGUGCUGCAUGGCUGUCGUCAGCUCGUGUUGUGAAAUGUUGGGUUAAGUCCCGCAACGAGCGCAACCCUUAUCCUUUGUUGCCAGCGGUUAGGCCGGGAACUCAAAGGAGACUGCCAGUGAUAAACUGGAGGAAGGUGGGGAUGACGUCAAGUCAUCAUGGCCCUUACGACCAGGGCUACACACGUGCUACAAUGGCGCAUACAAAGAGAAGCGACCUCGCGAGAGCAAGCGGACCUCAUAAAGUGCGUCGUAGUCCGGAUUGGAGUCUGCAACUCGACUCCAUGAAGUCGGAAUCGCUAGUAAUCGUGGAUCAGAAUGCCACGGUGAAUACGUUCCCGGGCCUUGUACACACCGCCCGUCACACCAUGGGAGUGGGUUGCAAAAGAAGUAGGUAGCUUAACCUUCGGGAGGGCGCUUACCACUUUGUGAUUCAUGACUGGGGUGAAGUCGUAACAAGGUAACCGUAGGGGAACCUGCGGUUGGAUCACCUCCUUACCUUAAAGAA